Molecule: ribosomal RNA, 520 nt
Filed under: uncultured bacterium
Lineage: Bacteria
Description: bacterial SSU rRNA
Rfam family: Bacterial small subunit ribosomal RNA
Source: RNAcentral
UGGGGAAUAUUGGACAAUGGGCGCAAGCCUGAUCCAGCCAUGCCGCGUGAGUGAUGACGGCCUUAGGGUUGUAAAGCUCUUUCGCUCGGGACGAUAAUGACGGUACCGAGAUAAGAAGCCCCGGCUAACUUCGUGCCAGCAGCCGCGGUAAUACGAAGGGGGCUAGCGUUGUUCGGAAUUACUGGGCGUAAAGCGCGUGUAGGCGGGCUUUUAAGUCAGGGGUGAAAUGCCGAGGCUCAACCUCGGAACUGCCUUUGAUACUGGAAGUCUUGAGUCCGGGAGAGGUGAGUGGAACUGCGAGUGUAGAGGUGAAAUUCGUAGAUAUUCGCAAGAACACCAGUGGCGAAGGCGGCUCACUGGCCCGGAACUGACGCUGAGACGCGAAAGCGUGGGGAGCAAACAGGAUUAGAUACCCUGGUAGUCCACGCUGUAAACGAUGGAUGCUAGCCGUUGGGGAGCUUGCUCUUCAGUGGCGCCGCUAACGCAUUAAGCAUCCCGCCUGGGGAGUACGGUCGCAAGA